This 505-nucleotide ribosomal RNA is filed under the name uncultured soil bacterium. RNAcentral's name for it is "bacterial SSU rRNA". It matches the Rfam family "Bacterial small subunit ribosomal RNA", at positions 8 to 524 of the family's 1533-position model. The record is from RNAcentral.
AGAGUUUGAUCCUGGCUCAGGACGAACGCUGGCGGCGCGCUUAACACAUGCAAGUCGAGCGAGAACCAGUCCUUCGGGACUGGGGACAGCGGCGAACGGGUGAGUAACACGUGGGUAAUCUGCCCUCGGCACCGGAAUAGCCCGGGGAAACCCGGAUUAAUGCCGGAUGGCCUCUCUGCCCUACGGGGCGGCGAGAAAAGGUAGCUUCGGCCUCCGGCCGAGGAUGAGCCCGCGGCCGAUUAGCUUGUUGGUGAGGUAACGGCUCACCAAGGCGACGACGCGUAGCCGGACUGAGAGGUUGGCCGGCCACAUCGGGACUGAGACACUGCCCGGACUCCUACGGGGGGCUGCAGUAACGAAUCUUCCCCAAUGCACGAAAGUGUGAGGGAGCGACGCCGCGUGUGGGACGAAGUCCUUCGGGAUGUAAACCACUGUCAGGGGAUACCAAGUUCUGAGGAUCCCCAGAGGAAGAGGCGGCUAACUCUGUGCCAGCAGCCGCGGUAAU